CGAGCAAAGCAUGCGCGCAGCUGUAUGGGAUUCUUGACGGAUGCUUCCCUCUGAAACUCGCUCGUGUUCGGCAGCUGGCAAAUCCGGCGGUCUAAAGCGCCCCCACGGCGGUUCCGUUCACUGAUAACCGCCUAGAGGCGGCGGCGGCUCUCCUGCUCGGCCAUUGAUGUUACAUCUUCCUUUCGUUAACAUCAAAUCUCAGCCAAGUUUCACAACCUUCUGUACUCUUUUCGUUCGGGGUUCUCAAUAACAUCGCACUUCGAUUUUGGUGCUUGGCAGCGUCUUCGAAUUGGUGCAAUUCCGUAAUCUUUCUGUUUGAGGAGCUGUACAGGGAGUUGAAGUGUCGGUAGAGAAGGAUUGGAGGCGUGGACCGGCCAAUCUGAAUAAAAUCCAAGUAUGAGAACGGGGAAAAGCAAUCAGGAAGAUGAAGAGUAUGAGGACGACGAGAUGGUUGCUAAAAGAGAGGGGCCUUCUUCUACUUCCAACGCUAAUAGUAGCAUCGGAAAUAGCAAAGAUGCGAAGAACAACGAUAGGGCUAAUGCCAUACGGUCGAAGCACUCUGUCACCGAGCAGCGCAGAAGAAGCAAGAUAAAUGAGAGAUUCCAGAUUUUGAGAGAUCUUAUACCUCACAGCGAUCAGAAGAGAGAUACCGCGUCAUUUUUAUUGGAGGUGAUUGAGUAUGUUCAGUAUUUACAGGAGAAGGUGCAGAAGUACGAGGGUUCUUAUCAGAAUUGGAGUGGGGAGCCUACUAAGUUAAUACCAUGGAGAAACAGUCAUUGGCGUAUGCAGACUUUUGUUGGUCAUCCACAGUCUGUAAAAAAUGGUUCUGCUUCAGGACCAACGUUUUCAGGGAAGUUUGAUGACAACAACAUUUCAAUUUCCCCAGCCAUGCUUGCAAGCUCACAAAAUCCCCUCGACUCCCAUUCAGGCAGAGAUGUUCUGCAGGAUGCUGACAUAACAAAUAAAGUUCCACUUCCCAUGUCUCUGGAAGGAAAUAUACAUGCUUCUAUCCGUAGUGACGGUGUUCUUGAUCAAUCUCUCCAGAUUCCAAUUUCCGGUGGACAGGCAACGGAGUGUCCCAUCGCCAACAAUGCAUCAAGCCAACCGGAAGAGAUGGCUAUUGAAGGGGGUACAAUAAGCAUUUCAAGUCUUUAUUCAGAAGGGUCAGUUGUUAUUGAACAGCUUGACUCAAGCUCUGCAGAAUACUGGACUGGAUUUGUCACAGGCUAGUGUCUCCAUUCAGGUUGAUCUUGGAAAGAGAGCAAAUAAAGGUCUCCCAUUUGGAAUGCCCAUUUUUAAGGAAACUGGCAACCCUUCCUCCUCCGGCCACCCUGCAAUGGCACACGUAGGGGACCUGGGUAGUGGAGAUGACUCAGAACAAGUGAAAAAGCGGCUAAGAACAUGACGAUCUGGCAACUCGAGUCCCCGGUUUAUUACACUGCACACCGCAUGGUUACUGUUUUUAUUGUGAAUCUCUGAAUGUGAUGUCUAUUGUACAGAUCCUCUUUUUUUUAUCUUGCUUGGCAUUUUACACAAUUUCUUCAAGCUCAUAUUGCUAUAACCAUCAGUGUUAGGAAAUCCAAGUUAAAAUUUGGUACUCAGUUCCAAAUUCUCCAGUUUCCAUUGCUCUGUAUUCUAUGUUUGUAGUUGUAUCACAAUAUAAAUGGGAACCUCUCAAACAGAACUUUAAAGAGGGCGUUUUAUUUCCACUUUACUAUA
This is an RNA transcript of Cucurbita pepo subsp. pepo (vegetable marrow), 1719 nucleotides long. It is a transcript of the gene named BES1-interacting Myc-like protein 2, with no coding region annotated. NCBI's taxonomy places the organism in Eukaryota, Viridiplantae, Streptophyta, Magnoliopsida, Cucurbitales, Cucurbitaceae. The record is from RefSeq and is a predicted model, not a curated record.